GAUGAACGCUGGCGGCGUGCUUAACACAUGCAAGUCGAACGGAAAGGCCCUGCUUGCAGGGUACUCGAGUGGCGAACGGGUGAGUAACACGUGGGUGAUCUGCCCUGUACUUUGGGAUAAGCCUGGGAAACUGGGUCUAAUACCGAAUAUGACAAUUGUUUGGAUGCGAUUGUGGAAAGCUUUUGCGGUAUGGGAUGAGCUCGCGGCCUAUCAGCUUGUUGGUGGGGUAAUGGCCUACCAAGGCGUCGACGGGUAGCCGGCCUGAGAGGGUGUACGGCCACAUUGGGACUGAGAUACGGCCCAGACUCCUACGGGAGGCAGCAGUGGGGAAUAUUGCACAAUGGGCGCAAGCCUGAUGCAGCGACGCCGCGUGGGGGAUGACGGCCCUCGGGUUGUAAACUCCUUUCGCAACCGACGAAGCCUUUUGGUGACGGUAGGUUGAGAAGAAGCACCGGCUAACUACGUG
RNAcentral lists this ribosomal RNA (466 nucleotides) under uncultured bacterium. RNAcentral describes it as "partial 16S ribosomal RNA". It matches the Rfam family "Bacterial small subunit ribosomal RNA", at positions 28 to 507 of the family's 1533-position model. The record is from RNAcentral.